Cebus imitator (Panamanian white-faced capuchin) is the source of this 1053-nucleotide long non-coding RNA. RefSeq lists it as uncharacterized. The record is from RefSeq and is a predicted model, not a curated record. Lineage: Eukaryota; Metazoa; Chordata; Mammalia; Primates; Cebidae. The transcript is spliced from 3 exons.
AUCCUGCAGCUUCGCGGCUCCUCGGCAGUAGGUGUGUGCUGCUCAGCGCGGGCUCCCAGGAGCUCGGCUUCGCGGACCGAGCGGGCGGCCACGGGGCAGGACGGCAGGGCGCUGAAGCAGCCCCGCGCCCGGGCCAGCUGAGAGAGUAUCUUAUCAUCAGCACAACAGCCCUGGUGUUGCUACAGGAAUACCUGACGCCAACAGGCAAAUAAUGGCAGUGACCCUGAGACCACUUCUGCUGGCUGCCACUCACCUGACGAUUACAGGGCCUGCUGUGAACACCUCUCCUCCUUGGGCUUGUGUUUCCUGAGGAGGUGGAGUUAGAGAGUAUCACAGGUUUCUGUUAGCUCUGAGAGUCCAAGAUUUCAAGGCCAGCGAGAGUGGAAACCUUGGGGCCAAGGGCUCCUGUCUGCCUUUUCUAUCCCAUAUCCCCGCUGUGAAGAAAUGUAGCUGGCCCGUAUGUGCUCAAUGUUUGUUGAAUGAAUGUACCUUUGUAAAUAACAAGCUGGCAGAAGGGUGGGCUUUUCUCACACUCCAUCUCUGAAGAUUGAUGUGACUGUCCUUUGGAGAGAAUCUAGUUUCAGACUUUCAGUUCUGUGGCUCUGGGUGAAAACCAACAAAGACCCAAAUCCUCUUUCUUUGGGAGCUUGAGGAGAGUUUACUAGUUUAUGUUCCCAUUGGGUCUGAGAACUUUGACUUUAAACUCCACUCCGGGCCCCUGCCUACUGCUUCCUGGCCUGGGGAAUAGAGUUGAGUCACCUUCCUUUGACUCUCCCCAUAGAAACAACAGAACCGAGCUCAGCUGGAUGAAAUAACGUGAUUUCUUCAUGACAUGACUGCUGCGUUUGGGGGGCACUGAGACAUAGAGGCCCCAGUCUUGUCUCGCCCACUCCCAUCCUGGGGAAGAAGACUCACCCCCCCAGAUUCCACCCUAUCCCACAGAGUCCCCAAUAACCUGUUCCCAUGGGUGGUCCUGUCCUGGGGCAUUGGUGCAUUCUGGGGGCAUGUCUCCCUGUGCCAUCUCUGUCACCCCCUAGUAAGAGCUCUGUCUUC